GUCGAACGGAAAGGCCCUGCUUGCAGGGUACUCGAGUGGCGAACGGGUGAGUAACACGUGGGUGAUCUGCCCUGCACUUCGGGAUAAGCUUGGGAAACUGGGUCUAAUACCGGAUAGGAACCAUCUUUAGUGUGGUGGUUGGAAAGUUUUUUCGGUGUAGGAUGAGCUCGCGGCCUAUCAGCUUGUUGGUGGGGUAAUGGCCUACCAAGGCGGCGACGGGUAGCCGGCCUGAGAGGGUGUACGGCCACAUUGGGACUGAGAUACGGCCCAGACUCCUACGGGAGGCAGCAGUGGGGAAUAUUGCACAAUGGGCGCAAGCCUGAUGCAGCGACGCCGCGUGGGGGACGAAGGCCUUCGGGUUGUAAACUCCUUUCGCUAGGGACGAAGCUUUUUGUGACGGUACCUAGAUAAGAAGCACCGGCUAACUACGUGCCAGCAGCCGCGGUAAUACGUAGGGUGCGAGCGUUGUCCGGAAUUACUGGGCGUAAAGGGCUCGUAGGUGGUUUGUCGCGUCGUCUGUGAAAUUCUGGGGCUUAACUCCGGGCGUGCAGGCGAUACGGGCAUAACUUGAGUGCUGUAGGGGUAACUGGAAUUCCUGGUGUAGCGGUGAAAUGCGCAGAUAUCAGGAGGAACACCGAUGGCGAAGGCAGGUUACUGGGCAGUUACUGACGCUGAG
RNAcentral lists this ribosomal RNA (676 nucleotides) under uncultured Actinomycetales bacterium. RNAcentral describes it as "bacterial SSU rRNA". It matches the Rfam family "Bacterial small subunit ribosomal RNA", at positions 61 to 750 of the family's 1533-position model. Lineage: Bacteria; Bacillati; Actinomycetota; Actinomycetes; Actinomycetales. The record is from RNAcentral.